GGAGAGAUGGCUCAGUGGUUAAGAGCACUGACUACUCUUCCAGAGGUCCUGGGUUCAAUUCUCCGAGUAUCUCCA
Non-coding RNA from Cricetulus griseus (Chinese hamster), 75 nucleotides. NCBI's taxonomy places the organism in Eukaryota, Metazoa, Chordata, Mammalia, Rodentia, Cricetidae. The record is from Rfam.